Molecule: transfer RNA, 66 nt
Filed under: Hodotermopsis sjostedti
Lineage: Eukaryota; Metazoa; Arthropoda; Insecta; Blattodea; Termopsidae
Description: tRNA-Asn
Source: RNAcentral
UUAACUGAAACCAAAAAGAGGUAUAUUACUGUUAAUAAUAAAAAUGAAUAACUAAUUCCAGUUAAA